This 702-nucleotide long non-coding RNA is filed under the name Helianthus annuus (common sunflower). Lineage: Eukaryota; Viridiplantae; Streptophyta; Magnoliopsida; Asterales; Asteraceae. The record is from RNAcentral.
CUUUUUCUUUCCAUCCUGUCCCUCCCUCCCUCAACUGAUGCCUAAUCUCACUUCCUAUUAAGAAAUCUUCAGCCAGGAACCGUUUCCAAAUAUGCCCCCAUUCAAUUUAGGUUUUAAUGAUUUCUUCAUCAUGAAAUCAAAGGUUUAUCGGUUAUGGCAAUGAAAUCGUCGCUGGUUAAUGAUCAAUUGAAACCUAUAACAAUUAAUGGAAACCACUGAUUGAAUGCUUGCAGCAAAUUGAAUAGGGAAAUUGAUUCCAGGCCUCCACUUCAUUAAUAGGGAACGACCUUUCUUUCUCUCAGUUGUAUAAUUGAAAGUUAAAAUUGUGAAUAUAAAGAUGGUUGUUACGGAAGGUGGUGAAGAAGGUGGAAGGAUUGCAGAUUUGGUGUCUUUCAAUCUGUUGCUGAGAUACCCUAAUUUUGCUACGGACGGCAGUUGGUUGUGGUGGUAUUAGGUGGUUUUUGUGAAAGGGACGAACUUGGUUGUGGUGGUGAAUGGAAACAGCGGUGUGGAUUGAACACCGACGGUGACGGAGAAAUAGGAUUCCCACGAGUAUUUUGGUGAUCGGAUUGUUGAAGGAUUAUGUUUCGGUCGAGAGCGUAGGUUGAGGCGAUUCCAUUGGUGAUCAACAACGGCGGCGGUUAGUAUUCCGGCAUUAGGGCGGUUAUUUAUGUUUUGCUAAAUUGCGAGAAAACAAUCCUG